UGUUCCCUGCGGGGUGCGUGAUGUGCAGCAAACGCUCGAACCUAUACCAAUCAAACGGGGGUCGUUUCGGGCACCGGGUGCAGGCCUUCCCUCGGGGAGGAAGCCGAAGGGGCUCGAACUUGAUCCCCACCUGAACCCCUUGGUUCAGUGGAAGUUGCACACACGGCUCAUGCGGGGAGCUU
RNAcentral lists this non-coding RNA (182 nucleotides) under Myxococcus sp. Its description in RNAcentral is "6S RNA". It matches the Rfam family "6S / SsrS RNA". From Rfam's summary of the family: E. coli 6S RNA was the first non coding RNA to be sequenced, but its function was unknown until recently. It consists of 184 nucleotides that fold into an extended hairpin structure with a large single-stranded internal bulge. The record is from RNAcentral. Lineage: Bacteria; Pseudomonadati; Myxococcota; Myxococcia; Myxococcales; Myxococcaceae.